UUUGUAACCUACCCAUCAGAGGGGGAUAACACUUGGAAACAGGUGCUAAUACCGCAUAACAGUUUAUGCCGCAUGGCAUAAGAGUGAAAGGCGCUUUCGGGUGUCGCUGAUGGAUGGACCCGCGGUGCAUUAGCUAGUUGGUGAGGUAACGGCUCACCAAGGCCACGAUGCAUAGCCGACCUGAGAGGGUGAUCGGCCACACUGGGACUGAGACACGGCCCAGACUCCUACGGGAGGCAGCAGUAGGGAAUCUUCGGCAAUGGACGAAAGUCUGACCGAGCAACGCCGCGUGAGUGAAGAAGGUUUUCGGAUCGUAAAACUCUGUUGUUAGAGAAGAACAAGGACGUUAGUAACUGAACGUCCCCUGACGGUAUCUAACCAGAAAGCCACGGCUAACUACGUGCCAGCAGCCGCGGUAAUACGUAGGUGGCAAGCGUUGUCCGGAUUUAUUGGGCGUAAAGCGAGCGCAGGCGGUUUCUUAAGUCUGAUGUGAAAGCCCCCGGCUCAACCGGGGAGGGUCAUUGGAAACUGGGAGACUUGAGUGCAGAAGAGGAGAGUGGAAUUCCAUGUGUAGCGGUGAAAUGCGUAGAUAUAUGGAGGAACACCAGUGGCGAAGGCGGCUCUCUGGUCUGUAACUGACGCUGAGGCUCGAAAGCGUGGGGAGCAAACAGGAUUAGAUACCCUGGUAGUCCACGCCGUAAACGAUGAGUGCUAAGUGUUGGAGGGUUUCCGCCCUUCAGUGCUGCAGCAAACGCAUUAAGGCACUCCGCCUGGGGAGUACGACCGCAAGGUGGAAACUCAAAGGAAUUGACGGGGGCCCGCACAAGCGGUGGAGCAUGUGGUUUAAUUCAAAGCAACGCGAAGAACCUUACCAGGUCUUGACAUCCUUUGACCACUCUAGAGAUAGAGCUUUCCCUUCGGGGACAAAGUGGACAGGUGGUUGCAUGAUGUCGUCAGCUCGUGUCGUGAGAUGUGGGUUAAGUCCGCAACGAAGCGCAUACCCUUAUGUAAGUGCCAUCAGUUAUGUUGGGUACAUCUUGCGGAGACUGCACGGUGAUAAACGGUGAAGGUA
Molecule: ribosomal RNA, 1072 nt
Filed under: Enterococcus faecalis
Lineage: Bacteria; Bacillati; Bacillota; Bacilli; Lactobacillales; Enterococcaceae
Description: bacterial SSU rRNA
Rfam family: Bacterial small subunit ribosomal RNA
Source: RNAcentral